UGAAUAAGGGGUGGGCAAGUUCUGGUGUCAGCCGCCGCGGUAAAACCAGCACCUCAAAGUGGUCAGGAUGAUUAUUGGGCCUAAAGCAUCCGUAGCCGGCUCUGUAAGUUUUCGGUUAAAUCUGUACGCUCAACGUACAGGCUGCCGGGAAUACUGCAGAGCUAGGGAGUGGGAGAGGUAGACGGUACUCGGUAGGAAGGGGUAAAAUCCUUUGAUCUAUUGAUGACCACCUGUGGCGAAGGCGGUCUACCAGAACACGUCCGACGGUGAGGGAUGAAAGCUGGGGGAGCAAACCGGAUUAGAUACCCGGGUAGUCCCAGCUGUAAACUAUGCAAACUCAGUGAUGCAUUGGCUUGUGGCCAAUGCAGUGCUGCAGGGAAGCCGUUAAGUUUGCCGCCUGGGAAGUACGUACGCAAGUAUGAAACUUAAAGGAA
Molecule: ribosomal RNA, 434 nt
Filed under: uncultured marine group I thaumarchaeote
Lineage: Archaea; Thermoproteati; Nitrososphaerota
Description: bacterial SSU rRNA
Rfam family: Archaeal small subunit ribosomal RNA
Source: RNAcentral